UACGUAGGUGGCAAGCGUUGUCCGGAUUUACUGGGCGUAAAGGAUGUGUAGGCGGAUACUUAAGUGAGAUGUGAAAGCCCCGGGCUCAACCUGGGGACUGCAUUUGAAACUGGAUAUCUAGAGUGCGGGAGAGGAGAAUGGAAUUCCUAGUGUAGCGGUGAAAUGCGUAGAGAUUAGGAAGAACACCAGUGGCGAAGGCGAUUCUCUGGACCGUAACUGACGCUGAGGCAUGAAAGCGUGGGUAGCAAACAGGAUUAGAUACCCUGGUAGUCCACGCCGUAAACGAUGAGUACUAGGUGUAGGAGGUAUCGACUCCUUCUGUGCCGCAGUUAACACAAUAAGUACUCCGCCUGGGAAGUACGGUCGCAAGAUUAAA
RNAcentral lists this ribosomal RNA (376 nucleotides) under uncultured bacterium. RNAcentral describes it as "bacterial SSU rRNA". It matches the Rfam family "Bacterial small subunit ribosomal RNA", at positions 524 to 898 of the family's 1533-position model. The record is from RNAcentral.